AAAGACCCGCAAGGGUAUGCUGAGAGAUGGGCUUGCGGCACAUUAGUUAGUUGGUAAGGUAAUGGCUUACCAAGACUAUGAUGUGUAGCUGGACUGAGAGGUUGAACGGCCACAUUGGGACUGAGAUACGGCCCAAACUCCUACGGGAGGCAGCAGUAAGGAAUUUUCGGCAAUGGAGGAAACUCUGACCGAGCAACGCCGCGCGAACGAUGAAGUAUUUAGGUACGUAAAGUUCUUUUAUUAAAGAAGAAAAAAUGAUGGAAAAAUCAUUCUGACGGUAUUUAAUGAAUAAGCCCCGGCUAACUAUGUGCCAGCAGCUGCGGUAAUACAUGGGGGGCGAGCGUUAUCCGGAUUUAUUGGGCGUAAAGGGUGCGUAGGCGGUUAAAUAAGUCUAUGGUAUAAGUUCAACGCUUAACGUUGUGAUGCUAUAGAAACUGUUUGACUAGAGUUGGAUAGAGGCAAGUGGAAUUCCAUGUGUAGCGGUAAAAUGCGUAAAUAUAUGGAGGAACACCAGUAGCGAAGGCGGCUUGCUGGGUCUUAACUGACGCUGAGGCACGAAAGCGUGGGGAGCAAACAGGAUUAGAUACCCUGGUAGUCCACGCCGUAAACGAUGAGUACUAAGUGUUGGGUUAAACCAGUGCUGAAGUUAACACAUUAAGUACUCCGCCUGAGUAGUACGUACGCAAGUAUGAAACUUAAAGGAAUUGACGGGACUCCGCACAAGCGGUGGAUCAUGUUGUUUAAUUCGAAGAUACACGAAAAACCUUACCAGGUCUUGACAUACUCUGCAAAGCUAUAGAAAUAUAGUGGAGGUUAUCAGGGAUACAGGUGGUGCAUGGUUGUCGUCAGCUCGCGUCGUGAGAUGUUGGGUUAAGUCCCGCAACGAGCGCAACCCUUAUCACUAGUUACCAUCAUUUAGUUGGGCACUUUAGUGAGACUGCCAAUGAUAAAUUGGAGGAAGGUGGGGAUUACGUCAAAUCAUCAUGCCCCUUAUGACCUGGGCUACAAACGUGAUACAAUGGCUGUUACAAAGAGUAGCUGAAACGUGAGUUUUUAGCAAAUCUCAAAAAAACAGUCUCAGUUCGGAUUGAAGUCUGCAACUCGACUUCAUGAAGUCGGAAUCG
RNAcentral lists this ribosomal RNA (1124 nucleotides) under Candidatus Phytoplasma prunorum. Its description in RNAcentral is "bacterial SSU rRNA". It matches the Rfam family "Bacterial small subunit ribosomal RNA", at positions 202 to 1334 of the family's 1533-position model. Lineage: Bacteria; Bacillati; Mycoplasmatota; Mollicutes; Acholeplasmatales; Acholeplasmataceae. The record is from RNAcentral.